Molecule: ribosomal RNA, 253 nt
Filed under: uncultured bacterium
Lineage: Bacteria
Description: partial 16S ribosomal RNA
Rfam family: Bacterial small subunit ribosomal RNA
Source: RNAcentral
UACGUAGGGUGCAAGCGUUGUCCGGAAUUAUUGGGCGUAAAGGGCUCGUAGGCGGUUUGUCGCGUCGGGAGUGAAAACUCAGGGCUUAACCCUGAGCCUGCUUCCGAUACGGGCAGACUAGAGUGCGGUAGGGGUGACUGGAAUUCCUGGUGUAGCGGUGGAAUGCGCAGAUAUCAGGAGGAACACCGAUGGCGAAGGCAGGUCACUGGGCCGCAACUGACGCUGAGGAGCGAAAGCAUGGGGAGCGAACAGG